This is a non-coding RNA of Ceratotherium simum simum (southern white rhinoceros), 163 nucleotides long. NCBI's taxonomy places the organism in Eukaryota, Metazoa, Chordata, Mammalia, Perissodactyla, Rhinocerotidae. The record is from RefSeq and is a predicted model, not a curated record.
GCCUGUGCAAGACAUGGCAAACUUUGUUUACCACAGAUUUCCUCUUCUCAGCUUCCUGUGAAUUGCCUCUCCUCCUUUUGAAGCUCCAGACCCCUAUCCCUUUCCUUAGCUCAGGAAAGUGUAUAAGCCUCAAUAGCCUGGCUGCCUUUUGAGUCACAUAUCU